RNAcentral lists this transfer RNA (74 nucleotides) under Porphyromonas bennonis. It matches the Rfam family "tRNA". From Rfam's summary of the family: Transfer RNA (tRNA) molecules are approximately 80 nucleotides in length. The record is from RNAcentral. RNAcentral also lists the same sequence under 5 other names. Lineage: Bacteria; Pseudomonadati; Bacteroidota; Bacteroidia; Bacteroidales; Porphyromonadaceae.
GGCUGAGUAGCUCAGUUGGAUAGAGCAACAGCCUUCUAAGCUGUGGGUCUUGGGUUCGAAUCCCAACUCAGUCA